RNAcentral lists this ribosomal RNA (444 nucleotides) under Achromobacter xylosoxidans. RNAcentral describes it as "bacterial SSU rRNA". It matches the Rfam family "Bacterial small subunit ribosomal RNA", at positions 30 to 470 of the family's 1533-position model. The record is from RNAcentral. Lineage: Bacteria; Pseudomonadati; Pseudomonadota; Betaproteobacteria; Burkholderiales; Alcaligenaceae.
UGAACGCUAGCGGGAUGCCUUACACAUGCAAGUCGAACGGCAGCACGGACUUCGGUCUGGUGGCGAGUGGCGAACGGGUGAGUAAUGUAUCGGAACGUGCCCAGUAGCGGGGGAUAACUACGCGAAAGCGUAGCUAAUACCGCAUACGCCCUACGGGGGAAAGCAGGGGAUCGCAAGACCUUGCACUAUUGGAGCGGCCGAUAUCGGAUUAGCUAGUUGGUGGGGUAACGGCUCACCAAGGCGACGAUCCGUAGCUGGUUUGAGAGGACGACCAGCCACACUGGGACUGAGACACGGCCCAGACUCCUACGGGAGGCAGCAGUGGGGAAUUUUGGACAAUGGGGGAAACCCUGAUCCAGCCAUCCCGCGUGUGCGAUGAAGGCCUUCGGGUUGUAAAGCACUUUUGGCAGGAAAGAAACGUCAUGGGUUAAUACCCCGUGAAAC